UACGUAGGGUGCGAGCGUUGUCCGGAAUUAUUGGGCGUAAAGAGCUUGUAGGCGGUUUGUCGCGUCUGCUGUGAAAAUCCGGGGCUCAACCCCGGACUUGCAGUGGGUACGGGCAGACUAGAGUGUGGUAGGGGAGACUGGAAUUCCUGGUGUAGCGGUGAAAUGCGCAGAUAUCAGGAGGAACACCAGUAUCGGAAGGCAGACUCUGGGACGUUACUGACGCUGAGACGCGAAAGCGUGGGGAGCAAACAGG
Molecule: ribosomal RNA, 253 nt
Filed under: uncultured bacterium
Lineage: Bacteria
Description: partial 16S ribosomal RNA
Rfam family: Bacterial small subunit ribosomal RNA
Source: RNAcentral